UCCUACGGGGCGCAGCAGUGAGGGAUAUUGGUCAAUGGGGGAAACCCUGAACCAGCAACGCCGCGUGAGGGAAGACGGUUUUCGGAUUGUAAACCUCUGUCCUCUGUGAAGAUAAUGACGGUAGCAGAGGAGGAAGCUCCGGCUAACUACGUGCCAGCAGCCGCGGUAAUACGUAGGGAGCAAGCGUUGUCCGGAAUUACUGGGUGUAAAGGGAGUGUAGGCGGGAAAGCAAGUCAGAAGUGAAAACUAUGGGCUUAACCCAUAGCCUGCUUUUGAAACUGUUUUUCUUGAGUGAAGUAGAGGCA
RNAcentral lists this ribosomal RNA (305 nucleotides) under uncultured bacterium. RNAcentral's name for it is "bacterial SSU rRNA". It matches the Rfam family "Bacterial small subunit ribosomal RNA", at positions 337 to 659 of the family's 1533-position model. The record is from RNAcentral.